Molecule: ribosomal RNA, 272 nt
Filed under: uncultured Staphylococcus sp.
Lineage: Bacteria; Bacillati; Bacillota; Bacilli; Caryophanales; Staphylococcaceae
Description: partial 16S ribosomal RNA
Rfam family: Bacterial small subunit ribosomal RNA
Source: RNAcentral
AUGUUAGCGGCGGACGGGUGAGUAACACGUGGGUAACCUACCUAUAAGACUGGGAUAACUCCGGGAAACCGGGGCUAAUACCGGAUAAUAUUUUGAACCGCAUGGUUCGAUAGUGAAAGACGGUUUCGGCUGUCACUUAUAGAUGGACCCGCGCCGUAUUAGCUAGUUGGUAAGGUAACGGCUUACCAAGGCGACGAUACGUAGCCGACCUGAGAGGGUGAUCGGCCACACUGGAACUGAGACACGGUCCAGACUCCUACGGGAGGCAGCAG